AUGCCAAUGUUGCGUCGCGUGCGGUCACGCACGGGCACAACGGCCGGCGUCGACGGCGAGGACCGCCUCAGCGCACUACCCGACGAUCUCAUCCGCCUCAUAGUACGCAGGCUGGACACCCGCACCGCGCUGUCCACCGCCGUCCUGGCCAGGCGUUGGGCGCACAUCCCCCGCGAUCUGCCGGAGCUCGACUUCAGGGUCAGCGAUGUGCUCCCGCCCGAGUACGACCGGACCGUCGCCCUCCGCCGGCGCAACAUGCCGCAUGACACGUUUCUGGCCGAGAUGCUGGACCGUCUCAUGGCACGCUGCGAAAUCGACACGAUCACGGCGUUCAUCGACGGCAUCACCGGAUUCUUGGAAGCGGGCGGUGGCCCUGCUGACGGCGACGCACGUCGGCGCGCCAAGACCCUGCGUCUGGAGUUCUUCCAGGCACACGAUGGCGGCUGCGUCGUCGACCGCCUGAUUGCCGCCGCGGUAGGCGCAUGGGGAGUGGAGGAUCUGGAGGUCGUUGCCAGGCCUCUCGUUGAACUCAGCGUGGGAUGGUCUUCGCGGGGUUAG
Molecule: ribosomal RNA, 558 nt
Filed under: Triticum aestivum (bread wheat)
Lineage: Eukaryota; Viridiplantae; Streptophyta; Magnoliopsida; Poales; Poaceae
Description: partial small subunit ribosomal RNA
Source: RNAcentral